AUCUGACCUAUCAGCUUUCGACGGUAUGGUAUUGGCUUACCGUGGCAGUGACGGUUAACGGGGGAUUAGGGUUCGAUUCCGGAGAGGGAGCCUGAGAAACGGCUACCACAUCUAAGGAAGGCAGCAGGCGCGCAAAUUACCCAAUUCUAACAGUUUGAGAGAGGUAGUAACAAGAAAUAACAAUACAAGGCAAUUAAAAUGCUUUGUAAUUGGAAUGAUAGAAAUUUAAACCCUUUUUAAAGUAUCAAUUGGAGGGCAAGUCUGGUGCCAGCAGCCGCGGUAAUUCCAGCUCCAAUAGCGUAUAUUAAAAUUGUUGCAGUUAAAAAGCUCGUAGUUGAAGUUCUGCUAAAAGUAACCGGUCUGCUUUUAAUAAAAGUGGUAUCUUGGUGUGUAUUUAGCAAUGAUGUCCUUUGAAGUGUUUUUUACUUUAUUGUAAUAAAGCAUAUUCAGGACUUUUACUUUGAGAAAAUUAGAGUGUUUCUAGCAGGCCGACGCUUUGAAUACUGCAGCAUGGAAUAAUAAGA
Molecule: ribosomal RNA, 524 nt
Filed under: Hepatozoon canis
Lineage: Eukaryota; Apicomplexa; Hepatozoidae
Description: SSU rRNA
Rfam family: Eukaryotic small subunit ribosomal RNA
Source: RNAcentral